GGAAUUUGUUACAUGACAGUUACAGUGCGUGCGAGAGAAAGAGAGCAAAACAUGUUUAGAUUUUUCACAAUGUGAACAAAUAGUUCGUUCAUUUGCGUUAUCUCCCAUGUUCGAAGCAACUUUAAAUUCAUAGAAGUAAUGACGCAUGGACAUUUGCAUACUGUGUGGAAGUUUCUGUACGCUAGGCUUUACGCCAGCUCGGUCCUUAAGUGGUCAAUCUUCUGCCAGUGACCAAGAUGAUUCUACACACAAAGUUUCGGCGGUGAUGGCAGUUUUUUUUAACCAGCGGUAAAUGAGCCGAAUGAGUAGUUUGCCUAUUAUUGAAAGUGCCUUUAAGUUCCCAAAAUGUGGCUGUUUUGGUUUCCUGCCUUAUAGGCUUUAUGAUAGAAUUGCCACUACGGGAAGCUACCGGAAGAUGAAGGAAAAAACCCCCACGAGUCGCUGGGUUAGUUCGGAAGCGGCUAGUAACUGGAUUACUCGUUUGAUUAGAACUUGAUGAUGAGAUGAUGAAAUAAUAUUAAAAACAAUGAUUUAAGUCGAUGAAAUAAAAAGGAAAAAAAAUAAUUACGAUUUAUUUGGAUUAAAAAAGGAAAGGUGCAUAGAAUGGGUGCAAAGUU
Armigeres subalbatus is the source of this 617-nucleotide long non-coding RNA. RefSeq lists it as uncharacterized. The transcript is spliced from 4 exons. Lineage: Eukaryota; Metazoa; Arthropoda; Insecta; Diptera; Culicidae. The record is from RefSeq and is a predicted model, not a curated record.